This is a long non-coding RNA of Dama dama (fallow deer), 831 nucleotides long. RefSeq lists it as uncharacterized. The record is from RefSeq and is a predicted model, not a curated record. NCBI's taxonomy places the organism in Eukaryota, Metazoa, Chordata, Mammalia, Artiodactyla, Cervidae. The transcript has 3 exons.
UGUUGCGGGGUCGGGGUGGGGAACAGUGUCAGGAGGCCAAAGGGGAGGGACGACUCUGGUCUGUAAGGCUGCACCCUUCAUAGCUCUUGGCCCCCGCACCUAAGCCUCCAGCCUUUUCCCUUGUGAAAUACAAUCCUGGAGCUCCUGGGAGGCUUGGCGCUGCCCAAGACCUGAGGGCAGGGCAAGGAAGGCUUUCCAGCAGUGGAGUAAAAAGGAAGCGGUGCUAAUGAAGGCCCUAACGAGUCGCAGGAGAAGCUUCCAGCUCCAGCCUUUGGAUAGCACUGACAGGGAAGGCAAGGCAACAAGUCUAGUUCGUGGGGUGCUGGAGCAACGUGCAAUGCAGAGAGACAAGUCAUGGCUCCUCUGGUGCCCAGGAGGCCCUGGCUGGGCAACCAUCCUCUGCCCCCAGAACAGCGUCUCAUGAAAGGAUAAAAGAACUCCUGGGUUCCCAACUGUGAAGGAAGCAGCAUGCCUGUAUGUCCCUCACUGGACCACUAUGGAUGGGUCCCGACCCCUCUGGGUCUCAGUGACCUCAGCUGCAAACCCAGUCUCUAGCUCUGACCCUCGAUUUUCUCCCCACCUCUUCCCGAACCCCCUUCCCAGUCCCUGUUCCCUCUUCCUUCAGUGAUCUCCCUCUAACACUGCGCACACCACCUCCACCAAGAAAGCUUCCCAACCUUCCCAUGUACCUUGAAUUUCUCCCCGCUCUCCACAAACAGCUAUGGCAUAUUUUUUUUAUAGCAACAGCAGGAUUAAUUGUUAACACUUCUCCCCGAUCCAGGGUGGGGGAACCCCUGGAAAGGGUGAAUUAAAGUUUAUGCGAUUCAUUGA